Molecule: ribosomal RNA, 459 nt
Filed under: uncultured bacterium
Lineage: Bacteria
Description: partial 16S ribosomal RNA
Rfam family: Bacterial small subunit ribosomal RNA
Source: RNAcentral
CCUACGGGAGGCAGCAGUGAGGAAUAUUGGUCAAUGGGCGGAAGCCUGAACCAGCCAAGUAGCGUGCAGGAUGACGGCCCUACGGGUUGUAAACUGCUUUUAUACGGGAAUAACGCGCCUUACGUGUAGGGCUUUGCAUGUACCGUAUGAAUAAGGACCGGCUAAUUCCGUGCCAGCAGCCGCGGUAAUACGGAAGGUCCGGGCGUUAUCCGGAUUUAUUGGGUUUAAAGGGAGCGUAGGCCGCAUGUCAAGCGUGCUGUGAAAUGUCCGGGCUCAACCCCGGCGAGCCGUUGAAACUGGCGGGCUGGAGUUGGAGAGAAGUACGCGGAAUGCGCGGUGUAGCGGUGAAAUGCUUAGAUAUCGCGCAGAACCCCGAUUGCGAAGGCAGCGUACCGGCUCCACACUGACGCUGAGGCACGAAAGCGUGGGUAUCGAACAGGAGUAGAGACCCCUGUAGUC